RNAcentral lists this ribosomal RNA (228 nucleotides) under uncultured bacterium. RNAcentral describes it as "partial 16S ribosomal RNA". It matches the Rfam family "Bacterial small subunit ribosomal RNA", at positions 568 to 796 of the family's 1533-position model. The record is from RNAcentral.
UGCGUAGGCGGAAUGAUAGUUAGUGGUGAAAGCCCCCGGCUCAACCGGGGAACUGCCAUUAAUACUGUCAUUCUUGAGUAUAGUUGAAGUGGGCGGAAUGUAUCAUGUAGCGGUGAAAUGCUUAGAUAUGAUACAGAACACCGAUAGCGUAGGCAGCUUGCUAAACUAUAACUGACGCUCAGGCACGAAAGCGUGGGGAGCAAACAGGAUUAGAUACCCUGGUAGUCC